This is a long non-coding RNA of Gigantopelta aegis, 537 nucleotides long. RefSeq lists it as uncharacterized. The transcript has 4 exons. Lineage: Eukaryota; Metazoa; Mollusca; Gastropoda; Neomphalida; Peltospiridae. The record is from RefSeq and is a predicted model, not a curated record.
CUACGUGUUAGUUCCCACGUUCAUAUACAUAUACAUGUACAUAUAUACUACAUACUAUGAACCACGUGCGCAUUAACUGAAAGGAGAGAGAAAGAGAGAGAGAAAGAGAGAAAGUGAGCUGCUCAGUUGUAACUUAUUGGAGAAAUUAACAACAUGUCAGUUUUCUGUUUCGCAUUGUCUCUGCUAACUGUGAUCUGCAUGCAACCACAGUUUUCAUCGGCGUGGUUUAGUAGUAAGACUCACAUCGUUAUGCUCGUUAUCGCUAGUACCAUGGUCAAAGAAGGUACCCAUGGCGCAGGGGUGGUAUGGCUUGUCCCAGACUCACUGCAUCGAAACGUUUGGGAAGGGGGAAGUUACUCUGUGCGGUGCGGUGCCGUCUGCAGUGGGACGUGUUCGUAUUCGUGGUCGACCGAGAAUCGACGGAUUUCAACCGGUCCUGUGCUCAAUUUGACAAACAUCAGAAGAAGCCAAGACGGACAGCACUACGUGUGCUCCGUACUCGAUUCUGGUUCUCCAGGAACCAGGACAACAUCGACU